GGAGGGGAGUAGGAUGGACGAACGCCCUCUUAUUGACGAUAGUCGACGUAUGGUGCGAGAUUGCAGGGAGUGUCAGGUGGUACAUGUAUAUAGGUAGGCAAAUAGGGCCGCCGACUAGGUUGCCCCCUAUGCAGCGCAGCAUACUGGGGAGGUCCUUCGGACGCAUCAGGGGACCUCUCCUCCACAGUUAUGCCAUUUUGUAGCUCUUGACUCUGCUGGCUGCACUUAUACUUGGGUAGGGUGAGCAGCCGUUGUACCAA
This 260-nucleotide long non-coding RNA is filed under the name Phoenix dactylifera (date palm). Its description in RNAcentral is "long non-coding RNA (PDAC_LNC009809)". The record is from RNAcentral. Lineage: Eukaryota; Viridiplantae; Streptophyta; Magnoliopsida; Arecales; Arecaceae.